UUCGGGUGACAGGGAGACAGGUGGUGCAUGGUUGUCGUCAGCUCGUGUCGUGAGAUGUUGGGUUAAGUCCCGCAACGAGCGCAACCCCUACGUUUAGUUGCUAACGCGUGAAGGCGAGCACUCUAGACGAACUGCCGUUGACAAAACGGAGGAAGUGGGAUGACGUCAAAUCAUCAUGCCCUUAUGUUCUGGGCUACACACGUGCUACAAUGGCCGGUACAGACGGACGCAAAGCCGCGAGGCGGAGCAAAUCCGAAAAAGCCGGUCUCAGUUCGGAUUGCAGGCUGCAAUUCGCCUGCAUGAAGUCGGAAUCGCUAGUAAUCGCAGGUCAGCAUACUGCGGUGAAUACGUUCCCGGGCCUU
RNAcentral lists this ribosomal RNA (362 nucleotides) under uncultured Pelotomaculum sp. RNAcentral's name for it is "bacterial SSU rRNA". It matches the Rfam family "Bacterial small subunit ribosomal RNA", at positions 1018 to 1382 of the family's 1533-position model. Lineage: Bacteria; Bacillati; Bacillota; Clostridia; Eubacteriales; Desulfotomaculaceae. The record is from RNAcentral.